GGCUGGUCUGAAGGUAGUGAGUUAUCUCAAUUGAUUGUUCACAGUCAGGUACAGAUUGAACUCCUUGUUCUACACUUUCCCCCUUCUCAUUUCUGCACUUGACUAGUCUUAA
Molecule: Y RNA, 112 nt
Filed under: Jaculus jaculus (lesser Egyptian jerboa)
Lineage: Eukaryota; Metazoa; Chordata; Mammalia; Rodentia; Dipodidae
Description: Y RNA (ENSJJAG00000007184.1)
Rfam family: Y RNA
About the family: Y RNAs are components of the Ro ribonucleoprotein particle (Ro RNP), in association with Ro60 and La proteins. The Y RNAs and Ro60 and La proteins are well conserved, but the function of the Ro RNP is not known.
Source: Rfam by way of RNAcentral